Molecule: ribosomal RNA, 232 nt
Filed under: uncultured bacterium
Lineage: Bacteria
Description: partial 16S ribosomal RNA
Rfam family: Bacterial small subunit ribosomal RNA
Source: RNAcentral
CGGACGGGUGAGUAAUGUCUGGGAAACUGCCUGAUGGAGGGGGGUAACUACUGGAAACGGUAGCUAAUACCGCAUAACGUCGCAAGACCAAAGAGGGGGACCUUAGGGCCUCUUGCCAUCGGAUGUGCCCAGAUGGGAUUAGCUAGUAGGCGGGGUAACGGCUCACCUAGGCGACGAUCCCUAGCUGGUCUGAGAGGAUGACCAGCCACACUGGAACUGAGACACGGUCCAG